AGAGUUUGAUCAUGGCUCAGAUUGAACGCUGGCGGCAGGCUUAACACAUGCAAGUCGAGCGGGGGAAAGUAGCUUGCUACUGGACCUAGCGGCGGACGGGUGAGUAAUGCUUAGGAAUCUGCCUAUUAGUGGGGGACAACAUUCCGAAAGGAAUGCUAAUACCGCAUACGUCCUACGGGAGAAAGCAGGGGACCUUCGGGCCUUGCGCUAAUAGAUGAGCCUAAGUCGGAUUAGCUAGUUGGUGGGGUAAAGGCCUACCAAGGCGACGAUCUGUAGCGGGUCUGAGAGGAUGAUCCGCCACACUGGGACUGAGACACGGCCCAGACUCCUACGGGAGGCAGCAGUGGGGAAUAUUGGACAAUGGGGGGAACCCUGAUCCAGCCAUGGCCGCGUGUGUGAAGAAGGCCUUAUGGUUGUAAAGCACUUUAAGCGAGGAGGAGGCUACUAGUAUUAAUACUACUGGAUAGUGGACGUUACUCGCAGAAUAAGCACCGGCUAACUCUGUGCCAGCAGCCGCGGUAAUACAGAGGGUGCGAGCGUUAAUCGGAUUUACUGGGCGUAAAGCGUGCGUAGGCGGCCAUUUAAGUCAAAUGUGAAAUCCCCGAGCUUAACUUGGGAAUUGCAUUCGAUACUGGAUGGCUAGAGUAUGGGAGAGGAUGGUAGAAUUCCAGGUGUAGCGGUGAAAUGCGUAGAGAUCUGGAGGAAUACCGAUGGCGAAGGCAGCCAUCUGGCCUAAUACUGACGCUGAGGUACGAAAGCAUGGGGAGCAAACAGGAUUAGAUACCCUGGUAGUCCAUGCCGUAAACGAUGUCUACUAGCCGU
RNAcentral lists this ribosomal RNA (822 nucleotides) under uncultured bacterium. Its description in RNAcentral is "bacterial SSU rRNA". It matches the Rfam family "Bacterial small subunit ribosomal RNA", at positions 8 to 823 of the family's 1533-position model. The record is from RNAcentral.